GAUUUCUGGUUGGCCGCGCUGGCCCGCUCCCAUUGGGGGUGUGUGCCGGCGCGUGCCCUCCAUCCUUCCAGGUUGCCGCGUGUACCGUUCAUUCGGCCGCGCGCGGAGCGAUCUGGAUCAUUUACUUUGAAAAAAUUAGAGUGUUUAAAGCAGGCUUACGCCUUGAAUACAUUAGCAUGGAAUAAUAAUAUAGGACUUCGGUUCUAUUUUGUUGGUUUCUAGGACGGAAGUAAUGAUUGAUAGGGACAGUUGGGGGUGCUAGUAUUCAGCGGCCAGAGGUGAAAUUCUUGGAUUCGCUGAGGACUAACUACUGCGAAAGCAUU
This 323-nucleotide ribosomal RNA is filed under the name uncultured Cercozoa. RNAcentral describes it as "SSU rRNA". The stretch from base 111 to 323 matches the Rfam family "Eukaryotic small subunit ribosomal RNA", at positions 741 to 955 of the family's 1831-position model. Lineage: Eukaryota; Cercozoa. The record is from RNAcentral.